UACGAAGGGGACUAGCGUUGUUCGGAUUUACUGGGCGUAAAGCGCGCGUAGGCGGAUCGCUAAGUCAGGGGUGAAAUCCCAAGGCUCAACCUUGGAACUGCCUUUGAUACUGACGAUCUGGAGAUUGGGAGAGGUGAGUGGAAUUCCGAGUGUAGAGGUGAAAUUCGUAGAUAUUCGGAGGAACACCAGAAGCGAAGGCGGCUCACUGGCCCAAUACUGACGCUGAGGCGCGAAAGCGUGGGGAGCAAACAGGG
Molecule: ribosomal RNA, 254 nt
Filed under: uncultured bacterium
Lineage: Bacteria
Description: partial 16S ribosomal RNA
Rfam family: Bacterial small subunit ribosomal RNA
Source: RNAcentral